Talpa occidentalis (Iberian mole) is the source of this 6116-nucleotide RNA transcript. It is a transcript of the gene named DNA cross-link repair 1A, with no coding region annotated. NCBI's taxonomy places the organism in Eukaryota, Metazoa, Chordata, Mammalia, Eulipotyphla, Talpidae. The record is from RefSeq and is a predicted model, not a curated record. The transcript has 11 exons.
CUGCACAUUCGGGGCGGCAGAUUCCACACGGAGGAGGCCCCGGGGGCGGCGUUCUGGGAGUCCUGACAGCACCGGUCCCCCUCCCUUCGUUUUGGAAAUGAGCGCGUUUUAGGGCAAAAGGAAAACACAGUAAAUCCGUAAACCUCAAAGGGGCACACGAUUUUUAAUUUUUUUUUAAAGUUCUGCUUUUAAACCACGAGCGGAUCAGACGAUUCGCCACAGCACUGCUGGCAGGACGCUGUUCCCGCCAAGACACUCGAGUGUUUGCCCAAGGAACAUGUUGGAAUGACCCAGGAAAAUGAAGUUGAACAUCUGUGAGUCACAGAUCAGGGCAAUCACGAAUUUUGCAAAUCACACACCUCUUUGAUUAGGUGUGCCUAGUGUUACUGGCAAAGGAGGUAGCCUUGCGGUGUUUACAACAGCUGAUGAGCCAGCGUUUGGGGGAAUGUGGUUGGAGUUUGAGUUAUUUGGACAAUGGUCCAGUUGAAGGAACUGACAGCUUUAUAACAGCUUUUCAAGGCUUCUCCUAAGAUGAAGAUGUUGAACCUAUACUUCCCAUUAGUGCUUGAUUUUCAAAUUAUGACUGAUUCUUAUUUUUAUCAAGUUCUGGAAAAGACCAAGACACUAAAGAAAGAGCCGUCCCAAUGCUAAUCCUGUGGUAGGGUCUCUUAAUUUUGUUAUAGUAUUAAUGGGAACUCAGGUGAUCUCAGGUAUAAAGUUUGUAGUUUGCUAGUAUAUUUAUUACCAGAGUUUUUGUAUCAUCAAAUUAGUGUGGGUUUUUUUUUUUUUUUUGGUUUUUUUUUUUGUGGUUGUUACUUUUGUCUCUUUUUCUCAGAAAAUAAUUCCGUUCUAAAGUUUGGUAACACAAGUAGACUCUUAAUUGAGUUAACAUUAGUACUUCUUUAAUGAUACAAUCAUUUUGCCAUGUUGGAAGACACUGUUUUGGAAGAAGACAUCUGGGAAUAUAAAUCCAAAAGAAAGCUAAAGUCAGUACUUUCAAGUAGUUCUGAGAAUAUCCCAAAAUCUGUUGGAAAAGCAACAGAUGGAAAAUACCCAUCAAAACGAAACAGAAGUAAGAAAAGAACUGUAGUAGCUAAAGAGAAGGCAAAGGACCCAGAAGUGUGCUUGGGAGACACCGAUAAUGAGGUUUCUGUAGCUUCUAGUCAGGAUUCUAGUUGUGGAGAUGGUACCCAGCAGUCCCAAGACAAGGAAACCACCCCUGGAAAGCGGUGUAAGACUCACAAAAACCAAGUGUCUCCAAAGGUACGUCCCGUUUAUGAUGGACACUGUCCAAACUGCCAAAUGCCUUUUUCCUCAUUACUGGGCCAGACACCUCGAUGGCAUGUUUUUGAGUGCUUGGAUUCUCCACCAGUCUCUGAAACAGAGUGUCCUGAUGGUCUUCUGUGUACCUCAACAAUUCCUUCUCAUUACAAGAAAUACACUCACCUUCUGCUGGCUCAAAGCAGGGCUAGUAAUAGUCCUUUCAGCAGUCCAGCCCACAGGUCAGCUGACAGUUUCACUGAGCCUAAUUCCCACUUUCCUUAUAACCCGGAGGAAGGAUGGUCUCUGUAUCAGAAACAAACCAAAAACUUAAAUGUUUCAACUGAUGCUUUGCUAGUGACGCAGUGCCUAAGAAACUCUCAGUCUCCAACUGAAACCAAUAAAAAGAUUUCCUCUUCCACAAAUAGCCAAACCUCCCAGCAAGCUCCUCACUUUACAGAAUUUGUUAAUAAUGGCAAACUAGGAGUUGGUUUGCUCCUUGAUGAAGAAUUAGGCAGCCAAAACAGCUCAGAACACAUAAAUUUGCCAUUGCCAGAAAAUGACUUAAGCAACUGUGAAAUUUCCUAUUCACCACUGCAAAGUGAUGAGGAAAGUUUUGAUGGAGAUGAAGAGCUGGCUGAGUCCCAACAGGAAAUGUUUUUCACAGAAAGCUCUAAAGAUGGCAGCCUAGGAGAAAAUGACAACAGCUUCACAUCAGUUAAACUCCACGGUCCCUUAGACCAGAAAGAGAACUGCCCCAAAGUGAACAGCUUAACUCACAAUAAAUACAGUGAAGAAUUGUACAAAUGCAGCCUUCUAAAUGAUUCAUCUCCAGGUAGGUUCCAGAAUGAGAGAAUUAUAAUAUGUGAUGAUUCAGCAACUUCUAAUGGUGAUUUUUUGUUGUUUCCACCUGCGUUAGUAGAGGGACCUAUCUCUAGUUAUCCAGCUGCUAAAGCAAAAGCUGACAAGCCAGAACUCCUCUCAUCUCAGUCAAAUAAACAGAAACAGGUAGUUGAAGAAUCAGGUGCUCAUAAUCAGAUCUCCCUUCCCUUAUUUAAGAGUAAAAUGUCAAAAUCUUUUGAAAGCCAGGGAGAAGGGUGUCUUUCUUUCCAUCCAACCCAAAAUAAAAUUAGAGAAUCACCAAGUAAGAACUUCAAUGCUAAGAAUGAUGCUAAUACAGAAUAUAUCUGCAGAAGGGCAUUAGAUGGCAUGCUGGACAGUAAAGUUUCAAAGACACAGAAAUUUUCUAGUGCUCCUGCUGCUGCUAAGCCUUUGAAAAUACCGCCAUCCAGUCCUACCUCUAAUGCAGCACAACCGUCUGCCAAGGCCAUGAAACAAAUGGAUAUUGGUGUGUAUUUUGGACUACCACCCAAGAAAAAGGAGGAGAAAAUGCCAGGGAAAAGUGCAUUAGAAGCAGUGAACUCAAGUCCAAAUCAAAAGAGAUCCCGGCAGUGCAAGAGGAAAGCAGAAAAAUCUUUAAGUGAUUUAGAAUUCGAUUCACAGAAUUUAAAUGAGAGUCAGCUGUCUGUGGAAUUAUCUAGUCCAAGGUCACAGCAUCAAAGAAAGAGACGUAAAAAGUCAGAUUCACUUCAGGAAGGAGCAUAUCAGAAGAAGUCAGGUCACCUUAUUAAUACAGAAUCUGAAGCAGUCAAUUUAAGUAAAGACAUACCAGCUCCUGGCAGGCGGUGGAGAGGGAAAACAAAAAUCCCAGAGCCAUAUAACAUGAGAGAAAUAAGAAAGAGGACAUGUCCAUUCUAUAAGAAAAUACCUGGAACUGGCUUUACAGUGGAUGCCUUCCAGUAUGGGCCGGUUGAAGGUUGCACCGCCUAUUUUCUCACCCAUUUUCACUCUGAUCACUAUGCUGGAUUGUCUAAACACUUCACCCUUCCAGUUUAUUGUAGUGAGAUAACUGGAAAUUUGUUGAAGAGCAAACUUCAUGUGCAAGAACAAUAUAUCCAUCCAUUGCCAAUGGACACUAAAUGUACAGUAAAUGGUAUCAGUGUUGUUUUACUUGACGCCAACCACUGUCCAGGAGCAGUGAUGAUCCUUUUUUAUCUUCCGAAUGGUCAUGUCAUCUUGCACACCGGCGACUUCAGAGCUGACCCCAGCAUGGAGCGUUCUUUUCUGGCGGGUCAGAAAGUCCACACACUUUACCUGGAUACCACGUAUUGCAGCCCAGAAUACUCCUUUCCGUCUCAGCAAGAGGUUAUCCAGUUUGCCAUCAACACUGCCUUUGAGGCUGUAACUCUAAACCCACGUGCUCUUGUUGUCUGUGGUACUUAUUCUAUUGGAAAAGAGAAAGUCUUCCUAGCUAUUGCUGAUGUUUUAGGUUCAAAAGUGGGAAUGUCCCGAGAAAAAUAUAAAACGUUACAGUGCCUCAAUAUACCAGAAAUUAAAUCUCUCAUCACUACAGACAUGGGCAGUUCACUGGUUCACCUUCUCCCAAUGAUGCAAAUUAACUUUAAGGGUUUACAGAGUCAUUUGGAGAAGUGUGGUAGGAAAUAUAAUCAAAUUUUGGCUUUUCGACCCACGGGAUGGACACAUUCUAAUAAAUUUACUAGUGUAUCAGACAUCAUUCCCCAGACCAAAGGAAACAUUUCAAUAUAUGGAAUUCCUUAUAGUGAACACAGCAGCUACAAAGAAAUGAAACGUUUUGUUCAGUGGCUGAAGCCCCAGCAAAUCAUACCCACCGUGAAUGUUGGUACCUUAGAAUCUAGGAGAACAAUGGAGAACUAUUUUAAAGAGUGGAAACUAGAAGCUGGAUAUUGAUAUGGCCUGAAAGGACUCAGAAUUAGUUAAGCAAGUUAGGUGCAGCUUAUAAGUAGUUCAAUAUUUAGUGAUAUGGAAUAAACUUGAAAUAAAUGUGAAAAACCUUAUGAAGGUCACUCACAUUGUUUAUUCUCUUAUUUAUAUUUGAACAACAUGGUUAUAGUGCUGAGUGCCUCUCAGCAUCACCAGUGAAAUGGAGACCCUUUAUUCCUUGCCCCUCCCCAUGGGGCAGUUAUGUUCUGUAUCCAGUGUCAUAUGAGGAAACAAAGGCAGGUCCAGGGACCAAAAGGAUUCACAUAUUCAUAGACUAAAACUUCAUAUUCAUAGACUGAAACUUUUAUAUGAUAUAUAUACUUAAAUAAAACAUAAUCUUACAAUUGCUGUCAUUUCCUUUGGUUUUUAGAAUUUAUAACCGUGAUGGUCGUAUAAUUUUAUACAUCUUAACAAAAAUAAUUCAACAUUUGACUCCAUAAAAGAUGAUCCAAAGAGCCUAGAUAAUCACCCAAUAAAGAAUGGAGAAAAGUGCAUGUUUACUCAAGACGUCAGUUUUUCUGCCUAUAAUUUGAAUGCCUGUCUGAACUUGUACUCUCUGCAAAGUUGUCACCUUCUUAUCACAGUUCCAGUGACUGGUUUGGCAGCAGGAAGGUUUUCCACUUGGUCACUUUGUAAUCAGUGCUCUAUCAGGAAGCUGCCCAGGACUUGUUUGUGCUAGUUCAGAAUGUGGCUCCCACAGAAUCACCAAAUACUUGGCUUGCCCUGCUUUAUGUCCACAUCCACAGUUCCUGUGUGUCUCUUUCAUCUUCCCUGAAACAAAGAUACACAUACACACAGUAAAAACUCAGAAAAGGAUAAUAUUAUGUAACAUUACAAAUGACAUCACCUUCAUGUUCUUGAUUAUUGAUCGACAUUUGGAUUAUGUGUUUUCCCUCAUUUUCUUGGGUCAGCAUAUGGUUAUUUCCUGCAUGUAGCUCUUCCCCUUCUUUUUUCCCUUGUCAUCCAUUCUUUUUUUUUUUUAAUAAUAACUUCAUAGUAUUAUUACUUUAAUUUUACAAUUAACCAGUCUUGUUUCCUGCCUUUAUUUGAACCACAUGAAAUGUCUCUCUGCCAUCUUUCCCAUCUUGUAUUUUGUGAUUUUCUCUUUGUAAUAGUUAUUGCAAGCCAUAAAUGAUUUGGUAAAUUAAAUAGAGAUAUAAGAGCAUGAUUGUUUUGUGAUAGAGUGUACAGCAAUAUGUUCCUAAUUACGUGCCUCCUGUUGUGUGACUGAAUUAAAACAUUCAUCCAAAAGAUACUUUACUGAGCAUAUUCUGGAUGCCAUGUACAUACUGUAGAUUCCAACAUCAGAUACCCUAGAAGCUAUUCAAUACGUCUGUGAAUGAAGGGGGAACUGCAGUCAUUCUUCACUGACAGGGGAGUUGGAGGAGAGGAUGAGAUGAGAUUAGACCUCACAGUAGGGAAACCCUGGAGAUGAAGCCAGGACAGUGUUCUAAGAGGAAAUGUUGGUCUCUGCUAUAGCAGUUUAGAUGGAGCAGAUGAAGUGAUGGAGGGUAGGUCUUGAGUAACUUUUAGAGAUGAACAUGAGCGUGUCAAGCAUUGCCACUCCAUGGCUCUUUGAUGAUGAAAACUUUUGAUUGGAGUGGCCACAAACCCAAGGGGAGAACUUUUUGAGCUUCAAUUCAAGAUGGCGAAAUUUGCCAAGUGACCUCAGAACUCUAACACCAUUUCAUGACAGUACUGCAGAAAGAGUCAUUGGUAGCAAUUAAUUUAGGAUUCUUUGAGAAGAGAUGUUGCUUAUGCAACAAGUAUGGUAAUGGAAACUUUGAUUUAAUGUCCAAAACUAAUUCAGGCCUGAUUCUAUCACUAAUUUUAUAAUCUUGUGCAAAUUAAUUCAUUUUCCUGGAUUGUUGAACGUAGGUCUCAGUUCCCUCUACUGGAAUGAGAGAGCUAAUUGAACUCUAGAUGAUCUUUUAUAAUUCUAUGAAUCUAUUUACUCAGUUGCUAUUUUUUUCCAGAGUUUUUCUUGCUUUUCCAGGGUUUAGUCAAGCUAAUUGUCACAAUGAAUGUGCUCUAUAAUAAAAUAUGUCAGAUGA